Molecule: ribosomal RNA, 468 nt
Filed under: uncultured bacterium
Lineage: Bacteria
Description: partial 16S ribosomal RNA
Rfam family: Bacterial small subunit ribosomal RNA
Source: RNAcentral
GACGAACGCUGGCGGCGUGCUUAACACAUGCAAGUCGAACGGAAAGGCCCUGCUUUUGUGGUGUUCUCGAGUGGCGAACGGGUGAGUAACACGUGAGUAACCUGCCCUUGACUUUGGGAUAACUUCAGGAAACUGGGGCUAAUACCGGAUAGGAUCUCCUGCUGCAUGGUGGGGGGUGGAAAGUUUCGGCGGUUGGGGAUGGACUCGCGGCUUAUCAGCUUGUUGGUUGGGGAGUGGCUUACCAAGGCUUUGACGGGUAGCCGGCCUGAGAGGGUGACCGGCCACAUUGGGACUGCGAUACGGCCCAGACUCCUACGGGAGGCAGCAGUGGGGAAUAUUGCACAAUGGGCGGAAGCCUGAUGCAGCAACGCCGCGUGCGGGAUGACGGCCUUCGGGUUGUAAACCGCUUUCGCCUGUGACGAAGCGUGAGUGACGGUAAUGGGUAAAGAAGCACCGGCUAACUACGUG